This is a long non-coding RNA of Aquila chrysaetos chrysaetos, 123 nucleotides long. RefSeq lists it as uncharacterized. NCBI's taxonomy places the organism in Eukaryota, Metazoa, Chordata, Aves, Accipitriformes, Accipitridae. The transcript has 3 exons. The record is from RefSeq and is a predicted model, not a curated record.
AAGCAAAAUUUUGACACAGUAAGAUGAGCUCCCAGCUUUUGUUCAUCAUGAAUGCUUAAAGAUUAGCUUUGACAAAUUUCUGAUGUACUUUCAAAUAAGUAAAUACUUGCAAUUAAGUAAAUA